This 484-nucleotide ribosomal RNA is filed under the name uncultured bacterium. Its description in RNAcentral is "partial 16S ribosomal RNA". It matches the Rfam family "Bacterial small subunit ribosomal RNA", at positions 30 to 507 of the family's 1533-position model. The record is from RNAcentral.
AUUGAACGCUGGCGGCAGGCCUAACACAUGCAAGUCGAGCGGAUGAAGGGAGCUUGCUCCUGGAUUCAGCGGCGGACGGGUGAGUAAUGCCUAGGAAUCUGCCUGGUAGUGGGGGAUAACGUCCGGAAACGGGCGCUAAUACCGCAUACGUCCUGAGGGAGACAGUGGGGGAUCUUCGGACCUCACGCUAUCAGAUGAGCCUAGGUCGGAUUAGCUAGUUGGUGGGGUAAAGGCCUACCAAGGCGACGAUCCGUAACUGGUCUGAGAGGAUGAUCAGUCACACUGGAACAGAGACCCGGUCCAGACUCCUACGGGAGGCAGCAGUGGGGAAUAUUGGACAAUGGGCGAAAGCCUGAUCCAGCCAUGCCGCGUGUGUGAAGAAGGUCUUCGGAUUGUAAAGCACUUUAAGUUGGGAGGAAGGGCAGUAAGUUAAUACCUUGCUGUUUUGACGUUACCAACAGAAUAAGCACCGGCUAACUUCGUG